UGAUGACGAGACGCCAAGGCGUUGAAGUAGUGUAUGUCAGGCUUCCAAGAAAAGCUCGCAAUGUCAUAAAUAAAAGAUGCCUGUACCAUAACCGACACAGGUGGGUAGGUAGAGUAUACUAAGGGGCGCGAGAUAACUCUCUCUAAGGAACUCGGCAAAAUGACUCCGUAACUUCGGGAGAAGGAGUGCCUUAUUUAUAAGGUUGCAAUAACAAGAUCCAAGCAACUGUUUAUCAAAAACACAGGUCUCCGCUAAGUCGUAAGACGAUGUAUGGGGGCUGACGCCUGCCCAGUGCCAGAAGGUUAAAGAAGUUGGUUAGUUUUGACGAAGCUGAUAACUGAAGCCCUGGUGAACGGCGGCCGUAACAAUAACGGUCCUAAGGUAGCGAAAUUCCUUGUCGGGUAAGUUCCGACCCGCACGAAAGGCGUAAUGAUUUGGAUACUGUCUCGGAGAGAGGCUCGGUGAAAUAGACUUGUCUGUGAAGAUGCGGACUACCUGCACCAGGACAGAAAGACCCUAUGAAGCUUUACUGUAACUUGAAAUUGGAAUUGGACUUUGCUUGCGCAGUAUAGGUGGGAAGCGUUGAAAAUAUUCUUGAGGGAAUAUGGGAGCUAUCAGUGAGAUACCACUCUUGUAAUGUUAGAUUUCUAACUUUGAACCAUUAUCUGGUCAGAGAACAGUUUCAGGUGGGCAGUUUGACUGGGGCGGUCGCCUCCCAAAUGGUAACGGAGGCGUACAAAGGUUUCCUCUGAACGGGUAGAAAUCGUAUCUAGAGUGUAAAGGCAUAAGGAAGCUUGACUGUGAGACCUACAAGUCGAGCAGGGACGAAAGUCGGUCUUAGUGAUCUGACGGUACUGAGUGGAAAGGCCGUCACUCAACGGAUAAAAGUUACUCUAAGGAUAACAGGCUGAUCUCCCCCAAGAGUUCACAUCGACGGGGAGGUUUGGCACCUCGAUGUCGGCUCAUCGCAUCCUGGGGCGGUAGUACGUCCCAAGGGUUGGGCUGUUCGCCCAUGAAAGCGGUACGCGAGCUGGGUUCAGAACGUCGUGAGACAGUUCGGUCCAUAUCCGGUGUAGGCGUUAGAAUAUUGAGAGGAGCCUUCUCUAGUACGAGAGGACCGAGAAGGACAUACCGCUGGUGUACCAGUUAUCGUGCCAACGGUAAACGCUGGGUAGCUAUGUAUGGAGUGGAUAACCGCUGAAAGCAUCUAAGUGGGAAGCCCACCUCAAGAUGAG
RNAcentral lists this ribosomal RNA (1235 nucleotides) under metagenome. RNAcentral's name for it is "bacterial LSU rRNA". It matches the Rfam family "Bacterial large subunit ribosomal RNA", at positions 1564 to 2808 of the family's 2925-position model. The record is from RNAcentral.